CUGCAGGCCUGUCUUUGGGGUCCAUCCUAGGAGACUGUAGGUGCCAAGAUAGUGCCACCUGGAUGUGCACCAGGCCUGAGACACAGAGGGGAUCGUGAACAGGUCCACAGCAGAAUGGUGCUCAGCCAUAGGAGGGAUGGAGCACUGACAACCCCCCCCCUCCUUCUCCCCCCACUGCAGCGGGGAUGCACCUGGCAAACACAACACUCAGUGGAGGGUGCCGGCAGAGGCCCACACAGCAUGAUCCGUUUACGGGAAGUGUCCAGAAAAGCAAGUCCAUGAGACAGAGCUCAUGCUAGUGGUUGCUGGGGGCUGGGGGCUGGGAGAGAGGAGCCCCGGGAGUGGCAGGUCAUGGGCACGGGGUCCCCUCUGGGGAGGACUGACAUGGAGGGAGUGAUCACACACCUGGGUAAACCUUCCAAAUGAACCACUCAGUUCAAAGGCCGAACCUGUAUGUUUUGUGAACGUGAAUCGCACAGUGAGGAAACGGGGAGGUCAGGGGAGGCUGGGGGAUGGGAGCGCCUGCUGACCUCCGGCCUGAAUGUUUCUGCCCAAGCCCCUUGUGUGCUGGCCUGAAACCCUGCCACAGGGACCCUGCCUCGGGGCCCCCCCUGCGCCCUGGGGCCACAGCCUCUCCAGCACAGAAGUGACUUCAGAAUCCUCACGCCGGUUGCAAACAGAUCUGCUGAGAAGCUCCUUUCAAAAAUGCAACAACAGAAGGGCAGCUAUUGGUCCCUCCGCCAGAAAGAUCCAAGUCGUUAGGUUUGAAAGAACACCCCCAUAAGCCUUCCCGGUGACUGUGUGCAGCAUAAAGGUGGCGCGAGGAGACCUCAUCAGUGUGCAGGAGACAUCUGGAGAAAAUGAAGUGCAGAAACAGCCCCAGGCCCUGGGGAAGGCAGUAAGCCGCUCUGGGCCGCCGGAGCCUUCGGGGCAGGCCGGCACAAAUUGCCCAGCUUCCCAGGUCCUCGCAUAACCGGAGAGGCUGCAUCGAAAGAGCAUCCUUCCUCAGUCGGAGCUCCAGCCAGGAGCCCCUCUGCCCUGGGUGAGGCGGGCACGGACAGGGGGUGGGCAUCAUGUUCCCCAGACCCCCAGGACCGUUGGCACAUUCCAGCCGGCAGGCACUCUCUCAAAAGUCAGGAUGCAGAGCCAAGAACGGGAGCGUUUUAUGACUUUGGAAAUAUAGGCUGUGCAAUUGUGUGUUGUUUACUCGUUGGGAGAGCUGAGGUCCUUUAUUUGGGUUUUGUGGUAAUUUCAGGCUAAGGAUUCAUGACUCAGUCCAUCAUUCCUAAAAAUUCUUUUGGGAGACUGACUAAAAAAUAAUAAAAGCAGGGAGCAGAGGGGAGGAGCUGGUGAGCCAGCGGGGCCAUCCUGAGCCACGGCCCCAAGGCACCUGCUGUAGGCCAGGGUCCCAGCCAGGUCACGGAGCUCUUGGGGACUUGAUGCUGAAACUGCACUUGGAGACUUGGUCACCUGCUGCUCAAUGUAGGAACAAUGGACAUUCGGUCUCAGAAAACAGGUCAGAGAAGUGAAGAAACCUAGCUGCUUCCUGGGUCUGGACCACACCGGCUGAGAGCCACCACAUCCUCAAUCCCAUCCUGCCCUGGGUCCCACCCUGAACCCUUAGUUUAGGGCUUGGUCUUUUCCGAUCCCACAAUGGGAGCCUUGUGCCCCCUCCUGCCCUAAUGGUAGCAAAUAAUCCCUGAUGGGAAGCUACCCCCAGCCUCUCCCCGGACAACCCCAUCUAAACAUCAAAACAGCAGCCAGGAGGUAGGGGUCUGGAGAGAGAGAGAGAGAGAUAGGAGAGACGGCCCCAGAUCAGCGGGUCCCUUGCAGGGUGUCCCCUUGGCCAUACAAGCAGGAGCUGGGAGGGCGGUGAUCAGCAGGGUAAGG
This is a long non-coding RNA of Canis lupus familiaris (dog), 1890 nucleotides long. RefSeq lists it as uncharacterized. The transcript has 4 exons. NCBI's taxonomy places the organism in Eukaryota, Metazoa, Chordata, Mammalia, Carnivora, Canidae. The record is from RefSeq and is a predicted model, not a curated record.